Molecule: transfer RNA, 68 nt
Filed under: Dicuspiditermes sp. 2 TB-2017
Lineage: Eukaryota; Metazoa; Arthropoda; Insecta; Blattodea; Termitidae
Description: tRNA-Pro
Source: RNAcentral
CAGGGGGUAUUUUAUUGAAAAUAUUAGUUUUGGGGACUAGUGAAAUGGUGUUAAUACCUUUCCUCUGA